GGAAAAAAAUGCCCGCCCUCUUCAUUCCCGCGUUUUAGAGUACUGCUCUCAUCUCUCUCUUCUUCCCUUCGUUUUAGACUUCUCUCGUCUCUCAUCUCUCUCUUCUUCCCUUCGUUUUUCUCCUCUCAUUCUCAGAUCUUCAUCUCUUCUUUCUGCUCAUUUUCCCCUUCUUCGGUUUCUUGCUCUCUCGGUGUACAAAGCAUCUCGGAUUCUUGGUCUGCUUAGCUCGUUGUAGAGAAGAUUAAUUAUACUCAUAAGGAAUUUUGUGUGGGCUUUGUGACAUCUAGAUUGCUUUGGAAAAGGAUGGCAUCAAAAAGAAAAUGAUCUUAAACAAAUCAAGUGCAGCAAGUCCCAAAUUCUCAAUAAAAUAGGGAAGUUGAAGAACAAGAGACUGAAACACAACCACAGCAAUUUCAUUUGCAACACCCUCAAGUUUCUCAACCCCAAGUAGACCAUUUGCCCUCUCAUCAUUCUCAGGAGGAAACUGAAGACCAAUUACCCCCACAAAUAGAGUCUUCAUAGCACAAGAAAACAAGAGGCCCCACUUUUUGUAAAGAUGUGUAUAAAAUGAAUGAUAAUGAGCACAUUUCUGUAUCUUUUAAUAAGUAUGGUCAACCAGAAGAUGGAAAAUUGUCUCAUUUUAUUGGCACGAUAGCAUGUAAUGGAAAUAUUGUACCUGUCGAUGUGGAUAGUUGGAAGAAAGUAUUGAAUACAACUAAAGAUCGUGCUUCGGGUUUUAUCAGGAUAAGUUUGAUGUUUCAGAUGAUCGUAAAGAAUGGUGUUUAAAUGUCCUAAAUGCAAAAUGGAAGCAAUGGAAAUGCAUUCUAUAUCAGGAUUUUUAUAAGCCUGAAGUUCCAAUAGCAGAACAACUUACUCCUCCAACGGAUCGUGUUGUUAAAGAACAAUGGGUAAAUUUGCUUCAAAUGUGGCAAUCAGAAAAAUUUAAGACAUUUAGCAAAGUAAAUAGAAGCAAUCGUGCUUUGAAGAAAAUAAACCACUGUGCAGGAACAGAGCGAAGACCAAAGUUUAUGAUCCAAAGCGAAGGUCAUGAGUGUGAUGCACGUGCAUAUAAUCAACUAUUCAGAUGCAAUGAGGAUAAUUUUGUUAAUUCUCUUUUCUUUUUUUGGUGAUGAAAAAAAAUUAUUAAAAGUGUGUGUUGAACAAAGACUACUAUGAAUGUUUUGUGUAAGUUUGUAUAGGUUUUAUUAUA
Non-coding RNA from Nelumbo nucifera (sacred lotus), 1210 nucleotides. The record is from RefSeq and is a predicted model, not a curated record. NCBI's taxonomy places the organism in Eukaryota, Viridiplantae, Streptophyta, Magnoliopsida, Proteales, Nelumbonaceae.